UGAGGAAUAUUGGUCAAUGGGCGAGAGCCUGAACCAGCCAAGUAGCGUGCAGGAUGACGGCCCUAUGGGUUGUAAACUGCUUUUAUAAGGGAAUAAAGUGGGUCUCGUGAGACUUUUUGCAUGUACCUUAUGAAUAAGGACCGGCUAAUUCCGUGCCAGCAGCCGCGGUAAUACGGAAGGUCCGGGCGUUAUCCGGAUUUAUUGGGUUUAAAGGGAGCGUAGGCCGAAGGUUAAGCGUGUUGUGAAAUGUAGUCGCUCAACGGGUGCACUGCAGCGCGAACUGGCUUUCUUGAGUGCGCGGAAAGUUGGCGGAAUUCGUUGUGUAGCGGUGAAAUGCUUAGAUAUGACGAAGAACUCCGAUUGCGAAGGCAGCUGACUGUAGCGUAACUGACGCUGAUGCUCGAAAGCGU
This 410-nucleotide ribosomal RNA is filed under the name uncultured Prevotella sp. RNAcentral's name for it is "bacterial SSU rRNA". It matches the Rfam family "Bacterial small subunit ribosomal RNA", at positions 355 to 762 of the family's 1533-position model. Lineage: Bacteria; Pseudomonadati; Bacteroidota; Bacteroidia; Bacteroidales; Prevotellaceae. The record is from RNAcentral.